Molecule: ribosomal RNA, 820 nt
Filed under: uncultured organism
Description: SSU rRNA
Rfam family: Bacterial small subunit ribosomal RNA
Source: RNAcentral
CAGUAGAGUGGGGCGGAAUUCGUGGUGUAGCGGUGAAAUGCUUAGAUAUCACGAAGAACUCUGAUUGCGAAGGCAGCUCACUGGACUGCAACUGACACUGAUGCUCGAAAGUGUGGGUAUCAAACAGGAUUAGAUACCCUGGUAGUCCACACAGUAAACGAUGAAUACUCGCUGUUUGCGAUAUACAGUAAGCGGCCAAGCGAAAGCAUUAAGUAUUCCACCUGGGGAGUACGCCGGCAACGGUGAAACUCAAAGGAAUUGACGGGGGCCCGCACAAGCGGAGGAACAUGUGGUUUAAUUCGAUGAUACGCGAGGAACCUUACCCGGGCUUAAAUUGCAUUUGAAUAAUCUGGAAACAGGUUAGUCGUAAGACAAAUGUGAAGGUGCUGCAUGGUUGUCGUCAGCUCGUGCCGUGAGGUGUCGGCUUAAGUGCCAUAACGAGCGCAACCCUUAUCUUUAGUUACUAACAGGUCAUGCUGAGGACUCUAGAGAGACUGCCGUCGUAAGAUGUGAGGAAGGUGGGGAUGACGUCAAAUCAGCACGGCCCUUACGUCCGGGGCUACACACGUGUUACAAUGGGGGGUACAGAAGGCAGCUACCUGGUGACAGGAUGCUAAUCCCAAAAGCCUCUCUCAGUUCGGAUCGAAGUCUGCAACCCGACUUCGUGAAGCUGGAUUCGCUAGUAAUCGCGCAUCAGCCAUGGCGCGGUGAAUACGUUCCCGGGCCUUGUACACACCGCCCGUCAAGCCAUGAAAGCCGGGGGUACCUGAAGUACGUAACCGAAAGGAGCGUCCUAGGGUAAAACUGGUAAUUGGGGCUA